AGGACAGGGGGGUCCCUGCUCCACGGCAGGGCCUGUCCUUGCAAAGCAAGGUUGCGCGAGAGCGUGGCCCGUGGUUGUCGCUCGGGGGUGAUCGUCA
This is a small RNA of Streptomyces qinglanensis, 97 nucleotides long. It matches the Rfam family "che1 RNA". The record is from Rfam. Lineage: Bacteria; Bacillati; Actinomycetota; Actinomycetes; Kitasatosporales; Streptomycetaceae.